This 577-nucleotide ribosomal RNA is filed under the name Enterobacterales bacterium. Its description in RNAcentral is "bacterial SSU rRNA". It matches the Rfam family "Bacterial small subunit ribosomal RNA", at positions 826 to 1402 of the family's 1533-position model. The record is from RNAcentral. Lineage: Bacteria; Pseudomonadati; Pseudomonadota; Gammaproteobacteria; Enterobacterales.
GUGCCCUUGAGGCGUGGCUUCCGGAGCUAACGCGUUAAGUCGACCGCCUGGGGAGUACGGCCGCAAGGUUAAAACUCAAAUGAAUUGACGGGGGCCCGCACAAGCGGUGGAGCAUGUGGUUUAAUUCGAUGCAACGCGAAGAACCUUACCUACUCUUGACAUCCAGAGAAUUCGCUAGAGAUAGCUUAGUGCCUUCGGGAACUCUGAGACAGGUGCUGCAUGGCUGUCGUCAGCUCGUGUUGUGAAAUGUUGGGUUAAGUCCCGCAACGAGCGCAACCCUUAUCCUUUGUUGCCAGCACGUAAUGGUGGGAACUCAAAGGAGACUGCCGGUGAUAAACCGGAGGAAGGUGGGGAUGACGUCAAGUCAUCAUGGCCCUUACGAGUAGGGCUACACACGUGCUACAAUGGCGUAUACAAAGAGAAGCGAACUCGCGAGAGCCAGCGGACCUCAUAAAGUACGUCGUAGUCCGGAUCGGAGUCUGCAACUCGACUCCGUGAAGUCGGAAUCGCUAGUAAUCGUAGAUCAGAAUGCUACGGUGAAUACGUUCCCGGGCCUUGCACUCACCGCCCGUCAAAA